GCCGCCUUAGCUCAGGGGUAGAGCAACUGAUUUGUAAUCAGUAGGUCGGGGGUUCAAAUCCCUCAGGCGGCACCA
This 75-nucleotide transfer RNA is filed under the name Pseudomonadota bacterium. Its description in RNAcentral is "Proteobacteria bacterium (freshwater metagenome) tRNA-Thr". It matches the Rfam family "tRNA". Rfam says of the family: Transfer RNA (tRNA) molecules are approximately 80 nucleotides in length. Their secondary structure includes four short double-helical elements and three loops (D, anti-codon, and T loops). The record is from RNAcentral. Lineage: Bacteria; Pseudomonadati; Pseudomonadota.